Molecule: ribosomal RNA, 659 nt
Filed under: uncultured bacterium
Lineage: Bacteria
Description: bacterial SSU rRNA
Rfam family: Bacterial small subunit ribosomal RNA
Source: RNAcentral
AGUGGCGGACGGGUGAGUAACGCGUGAGAAUCUGCCUUGGGGUCGGGGACAACCACUGGAAACGGUGGCUAAUACCGGAUAAGCCGAUUGGUGAAAGAUUUAUUGCCCGAAGAGGAGCUCGCGUCUGAUUAGCUAGUUGGUGAGGUAAGAGCUCACCAAGGCAGCGAUUAGUAGCUGGUCUGAGAGGACGAUCAGCCACACUGGGACUGAGACACGGCCCAGACUCCUACGGGAGGCAGCAGUGGGGAAUUUUCCGCAAUGGGCGAAAGCCUGACGGAGCAAGACCGCUGAGGGAGGAAGGCUCUUGGGUUGUAAACCUCUUUUCUCAGGGAAGAAGCUCUGACGGUACCUGAGGAAUCAGCCUCGGCUAACUCCGUGCCAGCAGCCGCGGUAAUACGGAGGAGGCAAGCGUUAUCCGGAAUUAUUGGGCGUAAAGCGUCCGCAGGUGGCGAUUCAAGUCUGCUGUCAAAGCACGGGGCUUAACUCCGUAAAGGCAGUGGAAACUGAAUAGCUAGAGUGCCGUAGGGGUAGAGGGAAUUCCCGGUGUAGCGGUGAAAUGCGUAGAGAUCGGGAAGAACAUCGGUGGCGAAAGCGCUCUACUGGACGGCAACUGACACUCAGGGACGAAAGCUAGGGGAGCGAAUGGGAUUAGAUACCCC